This 392-nucleotide ribosomal RNA is filed under the name uncultured bacterium. RNAcentral's name for it is "bacterial SSU rRNA". It matches the Rfam family "Bacterial small subunit ribosomal RNA", at positions 28 to 420 of the family's 1533-position model. The record is from RNAcentral.
GAUGAACGCUAGCGGCAGGCUUAAUACAUGCAAGUCGAGGGGCAGCACGGUUAGCAAUAACUGGUGGCGAGUGGCGAACGGGUGAGUAAUAUAUCGGAACGUACCCUGGAGUGGGGGAUAACGUAGCGAAAGUUACGCUAAUACCGCAUACGAUCUAAGGAUGAAAGUGGGGGAUCGCAAGACCUCAUGCUCCUGGAGCGGCCGAUAUCUGAUUAGCUAGUUGGUGGGGUAAAGGCCUACCAAGGCAUCGAUCAGUAGCUGGUCUGAGAGGACGACCAGCCACACUGGGACUGAGACACGGCCCAGACUCCUACGGGAGGCAGCAGUGGGGAAUUUUGGACAAUGGACGCAAGUCUGAUCCAGCCAUGCCGCGUGCGGGAAGAAGGCCUCGG